Sycon ciliatum is the source of this 564-nucleotide long non-coding RNA. RefSeq lists it as uncharacterized. The transcript is spliced from 3 exons. The record is from RefSeq and is a predicted model, not a curated record. Lineage: Eukaryota; Metazoa; Porifera; Calcarea; Leucosolenida; Sycettidae.
UUAGCACCGUCAAACUACACGACUGUACAACGGCGUCGGUCGUUCCGACCGUUGAGACUGCCAAAGCUCGAUGGCUGCAAGUGCUUUGUUUCUCCAAUGACCCAGUCUACGAGAUAGCGUAUGCCCCGGGGCCCCGAUGAAAGAUGGCGUUACAUGGUACUGUACAAUCAUGUAGAAGGAAAUUCCGAUAACCAACAACAACUUGAGCAAGUAUGGGUAGUCACCUCCAGGCUCCACUCUCGAAAGUCAAGACGUGACGCAGAUCAGUGACACUGGCUAAAUGCAUGCACCUACAUGUGGACGGAUCAGGACUCUCGGGCCGAGCGGAAGACCAAGGCAGUAUACGAACAAGCCGUCUCGUACAAGCCUCUGGACCUGAUGUGCUAUUGCCGCUCUCAAGCCAUGCCAGGUACGGCAGAGUGUCACCAGACAGUACCCCCAAUCGGAGGGAGAAGAAACAAGCCUGGAGAAGAAAAUCUAAAAAUUCUGGCCAUCCCAAAUCCCGACCACCAUCUGAGGAAAGUUGUCAACAAGUGUGAAAUUCAGUAGCAGGAUACUACAGGA